GCUUACGACCACACCGGCCUGAGUACGCCUGAUCUCGUUUGAUCUCGGAAGCUAAGCAGGGUCAGGCCUGGUUAGUACUUGGAUGGGAGGACCGCCUGGGAAUACCAGGUGCUGUAAGAU
RNAcentral lists this ribosomal RNA (120 nucleotides) under Oncorhynchus kisutch (coho salmon). The record is from RNAcentral. Lineage: Eukaryota; Metazoa; Chordata; Actinopteri; Salmoniformes; Salmonidae.